GUCACACCCGCAAAAUGAACCUAUCUCCCGCGACGAUCUUAUGACCCGCGCGGGUCAUACGUAUCUCCCGCAUUCCGUAAAUAUGACCCGCAAUCACCCGCAUCCGCGUCUUUUAUUAGGAUCUCCGUACUUCCGGAAAUGUUCCGUUCGUGUCUCUCGGAAGUUUAGCUUUCAGUUAUAAAAGUCUGUAUACUAAGUGAUUUGUUUUCACAAUGGCGUCCCUGUUUCGGAACCAGCCUGGCAAAUUCAAAAGUGGGUAAUGCUGACUCUGAGAGAACAUUUUCCAUGCUGAAGAAGAUCCAGACAGAAGGGAGAUCUGAAUUAGGAAAUGAUACAAUAUGUGCUUUGUUAUGUGCAAAACUAAAUCAACAUGGUUCAUGCUUUCAGUAUGCACCUAGGAAAAGAAAAACAUGUAUAUUGAUUAAGAAUAUGUAAUAAAACAAUGAAGGUGUGA
This 454-nucleotide long non-coding RNA is filed under the name Mizuhopecten yessoensis (Yesso scallop). RNAcentral describes it as "uncharacterized LOC110447839". The record is from RNAcentral. Lineage: Eukaryota; Metazoa; Mollusca; Bivalvia; Pectinida; Pectinidae.